This 252-nucleotide long non-coding RNA is filed under the name Salvia miltiorrhiza (redroot sage). Its description in RNAcentral is "long non-coding RNA (SMIL_LNC009710)". Lineage: Eukaryota; Viridiplantae; Streptophyta; Magnoliopsida; Lamiales; Lamiaceae. The record is from RNAcentral.
CCACCAUCGCCGCCCUCGCGUCGACAGCAGCGCAGCCCAGUCAUCUCCUCCCUCUGUCGCGACCGGAAAAUCACAGCAGCAGUCAACACGAUAGCGCCGCCGCCGCCCCUGCACACGCAGCGGCGUUGAUGCUCCGGCGAGCAAUCCCUCCCCCAAACUUCAUCAAUUUUCCUUUUGUCCAUCUAGAUUUCUAAAUCUGAGUUUCUUUCUUGUAAAAAUCAGUGAAUAUGCAUUCUAUUCCAAUUUCUUAUG